GAGGAACGCUGGCGGCGUGCCUAAUACAUGCAAGUCGAACGAGAGCGACCGGUGCUUGCACUGGUCAAUCUAGUGGCGAACGGGUGAGUAACACGUGGGUAACCUGCCCAUCAGAGGGGGAUAACAUCCGGAAACGGAUGCUAAAACCGCAUAGGUCUUCGAGCCGCAUGGCUUGAAGAGGAAAAGAGGCGCAAGCUUCUGCUGAUGGAUGGACCCGCGGUGCAUUAGCUAGUUGGUGAGGUAACGGCUCACCAAGGCCGUGAUGCAUAGCCGACCUGAGAGGGUGAUCGGCCACAUUGGGACUGAGACACGGCCCAAACUCCUACGGGAGGCAGCAGUAGGGAAUCUUCCGCAAUGGACGCAAGUCUGACGGAGCAACGCCGCGUGAGUGAAGAAGGUUUUCGGAUCGUAAAACUCUGUUGUUAGAGAAGAACAAGUGCUAGAGUAACUGUUAGCGCCUUGACGGUAUCUAACCAGAAAGCCACGGCUAACUACGUG
Molecule: ribosomal RNA, 498 nt
Filed under: uncultured bacterium
Lineage: Bacteria
Description: partial 16S ribosomal RNA
Rfam family: Bacterial small subunit ribosomal RNA
Source: RNAcentral